Aethalodelphis obliquidens (Pacific white-sided dolphin) is the source of this 504-nucleotide long non-coding RNA. RefSeq lists it as uncharacterized. The transcript is spliced from 3 exons. NCBI's taxonomy places the organism in Eukaryota, Metazoa, Chordata, Mammalia, Artiodactyla, Delphinidae. The record is from RefSeq and is a predicted model, not a curated record.
UGUCUGUGCUAUGGAUGAUUUUACGAUCUAAUUCAUAGACAAAACCCUAUUCAUUUGGCACCCAAAUGUCAUAUAGCCGGAACUGAGGCUUAUAAAGUUUACUGUUUUAUAACUUUUUAAAGGAAAGACGGCAUCAGUGUAAGCAGUCGGUAAAUGUGCAAAUCUCUAGUUGCGCUUUAGCUGCUCUGAGGAGUUUCCCAAUCGAGCUAGGAUGGGAUCUUGAUCUGGCGCUCGGUGAGGCAGAGCGCGUUGGCGAUCUCGAUGCGGCGGCGCCGCGUCAGGUAGCGGUUGAAGUGGAACUCCUUCUCCAGCUCCAGCGUCUGGUAGCGCGUGUAGGUCUGGCGGCCUCGGCGCCCGUGACUCCCGUACACAGCACCUGCGGUCAGAAAUGGCCGGGCGCCGGGAAACACCUUACCCGCGCAGGAGUUCAUCCGCUGCAUCCAGGGGUAAACAGGACUCGUGUACUUCCGGUCGGUGCCUUCGUCAUGGAGGGCUUUGCCCGGC